AUGCGCAGGCCUAGGAGUGGGGCUGGCGUCCCGGGCGACCAGUGUGUUGUUGUUGGGUCUUAAUUCUAAAUUUGUCAGUGGCUCUCCUUGAAAUUGCUAAGUAGACAGUUGUAUAAUCCGUGACUAUUGACAUUUGCUUUCUUCUUUGGAACAUUUAAAUUUUAUUCUGUGAACUAGAACCUGAUAGUGGGCAUUCUGAGUUGUUUUUGACUAAGUGUGUAAAUGGAACCUCCAAAUAAGAUUAAAUUGAAGAGAAAGCAUUAAAGGGCAGUAUUCCAGUGGAAUCCAUGAACAGUUUAUGGACGAAGGGGCCCUGAGCCAAGGAAAGCAGGCCACCUCUAGAAGCUGGAAAAGGCAAGGAAAUGAAAUCCCCCAAGAGCCUCCAGAAGGAACACAACCAUGCCAACCUGUUUUAGACUUCUGAUCUCCUGAACUGUAAAAUAAUAAAUAUGUGUUGUUUUAAGGCAAUAAAUUUGUGAUAAUCUGUUAUAGUAGCAAUAGGAGAAGAAUACAGCAAAU
RNAcentral lists this long non-coding RNA (519 nucleotides) under Homo sapiens (human). Its description in RNAcentral is "non-protein coding lnc-USP16-14:3". Lineage: Eukaryota; Metazoa; Chordata; Mammalia; Primates; Hominidae. The record is from RNAcentral.